Molecule: ribosomal RNA, 406 nt
Filed under: uncultured bacterium
Lineage: Bacteria
Description: partial 16S ribosomal RNA
Rfam family: Bacterial small subunit ribosomal RNA
Source: RNAcentral
AUUGAACGCUGGCGGCAGGCCUAACACAUGCAAGUCGAACGAGUGGCGGACGGGUGAGUAAUGUCUGGGACACUGCCUGAUGGGGGGGGAUAACUACUGGAAACGGUAGCUAAUACCGCAUACCAUCAGAUGUGCCCAGAUGGGAUUUGCUUGUUGGGGGGGUAACGGCUCACCAAGGCGACGAUCCCUAGCUGGUCUGAGAGGAUGACGAGCCACACUGGAAUUGAGACCGGGUCCAGACUCCUACGGGAGGCAGCAGUGGGGAAUAUUGCACAAUGGGCGAAAGCCUGACGCAGCCAUGCCGGGGGUAUGAAGAAGGCCUUCGGGUUGUAAAGUACUUUCAGCGGGGAGGCGUUACCCGAAGAAGAAGCACCGGCUAACUACGUGCCAGCAGCCGCGGUAAUUC